This 253-nucleotide ribosomal RNA is filed under the name uncultured bacterium. Its description in RNAcentral is "partial 16S ribosomal RNA". It matches the Rfam family "Bacterial small subunit ribosomal RNA", at positions 524 to 776 of the family's 1533-position model. The record is from RNAcentral.
UACGAAGGGGGCUAGCGUUGCUCGGAAUCACUGGGCGUAAAGCGCACGUAGGCGGCUUCUCAAGUCAGGGGUGAAAUCCUGGAGCUCAACUCCAGAACUGCCUUCGAUACUGGGAGUCUCGAGUUCGGGAGAGGUGAGUGGAACUGCGAGUGUAGAGGUGAAAUUCGUAGAUAUUCGCAAGAACACCAGUGGCGAAGGCGGCUCACUGGCCCGAUACUGACGCUGAGGUGCGAAAGCGUGGGGAGCAAACAGG